GUACUAGCAUCCUAAAGUACAUAUACUAAAACAGGAAUGAUAGAGAAGAUUAGCAUGAUUUCUAAGCAAGGAUAAUAUGCAAAUUUGUGAAGAAUUCUAUUGUUAA
Sarcophilus harrisii (Tasmanian devil) is the source of this 106-nucleotide small nuclear RNA. Lineage: Eukaryota; Metazoa; Chordata; Mammalia; Dasyuromorphia; Dasyuridae. The record is from Ensembl.